GAUGAACGCUGGCGGCGUGCCUAAUACAUGCAAGUCGAGCGAACGGACGAGAAGCUUGCUUCUCUGAUGUUAGCGGCGGACGGGUGAGUAACACGUGGAUAACCUACCUAUAAGACUGGGAUAACUUCGGGAAACCGGAGCUAAUACCGGAUAAUAUUUUGGACCGCAUGGUUCAAAAGUGAAAGACGGUCUUGCUGUCACUUAUAGAUGGAUCCGCGCUGCAUUAGCUAGUUGGUAAGGUAACGGCUUACCAAGGCAACGAUGCAUAGCCGACCUGAGAGGGUGAUCGGCCACACGGGAACUGAGACACGGUCCAGACUCCUACGGGAGGCAGCAGUAGGGAAUCUUCCGCAAUGGGCGAAAGCCUGACGGAGCAACGCCGCGUGAGUGAUGAAGGUCUUCGGAUCGUAAAACUCUGUUAUUAGGGAAGAACAUAUGUGUAAGUAACUGUGCACAUCUUGACGGUACCUAAUCAGAAAGCCACGGCUAACUACGUG
RNAcentral lists this ribosomal RNA (497 nucleotides) under uncultured bacterium. RNAcentral describes it as "partial 16S ribosomal RNA". It matches the Rfam family "Bacterial small subunit ribosomal RNA", at positions 28 to 507 of the family's 1533-position model. The record is from RNAcentral.